RNAcentral lists this ribosomal RNA (497 nucleotides) under uncultured bacterium. RNAcentral describes it as "partial 16S ribosomal RNA". It matches the Rfam family "Bacterial small subunit ribosomal RNA", at positions 28 to 507 of the family's 1533-position model. The record is from RNAcentral.
GAUGAACGCUGGCGGCGUGCCUAAUACAUGCAAGUCGAGCGAACAGAUGAGGAGCUUGCUCCUCUGACGUUAGCGGCUGACGGGUGAGUAACACGUGGAUAACCUACCUAUAAGACUGGGAUAACAUCGGGAAACCGGUGCUAAUACCAGAUAAUAUAUUGUACCGCAUGGUUCAAUAGUGCAAGACAGUUUUCGUGUCACUUAUAGAUGGAUCCGCGCCGCAUUAGCUAGUUGGUAAGGUAACGGCUUACCAAGGCAACGAUGCGUAGCCGACCUGAGAGGGUGAUCGGCCACACUGGAACUGAGACACGGUCCAGACUCCUACGGGAGGCAGCAGUAGGGAAUCUUCCGCAAUGGGCGAAAGCCUGACGCAGCAACACCGCGUGAGUGAUGAAGGUCUUCGGAUCGUAAAGCUCUGUUAUUAGGAAAGAACAAAUGUGUAAGUAACUAUGGACGUCUUGACGGUACCUAAUCAGAAAGCCACGGCUAACUACGUG